AUUGAACGCUGGCGGCAUGCCUUACACAUGCAAGUCGAACGGCAGCACGGGUGCUUGCACCUGGUGGCGAGUGGCGAACGGGUGAGUAAUACAUCGGAACGUACCUUAUCGUGGGGGAUAACGCAGCGAAAGCUGUGCUAAUACCGCAUACGCCCUGAGGGGGAAAGCGGGGGAUCGCAAGACCUCGCGCGAUUAGAGCGGCCGAUGCCUGAUUAGCUAGUUGGUGGGGGAAAAGCCCACCAAGGCGACGAUCAGUAGCUGGUCUGAGAGGACGAUCAGCCACACUGGGACUGAGACACGGCCCAGACUCCUACGGGAGGCAGCAGUGGGGAAUUUUGGACAAUGGGGGCAACCCUGAGCCAGCAAUGCCGCGUGAGUGAAGAAGGCCUUCGGGUUGUAAAGCUCUUUUGUCAGGGAAGAAACACCGGCCCUAACACAGUCCGGGAAUGACGGUACCUGAAGAAUAAGCACCGGCUAACUACGUGCCAGCCGCCGCUGUAU
This 501-nucleotide ribosomal RNA is filed under the name uncultured bacterium. Its description in RNAcentral is "partial 16S ribosomal RNA". It matches the Rfam family "Bacterial small subunit ribosomal RNA", at positions 29 to 523 of the family's 1533-position model. The record is from RNAcentral.